Molecule: ribosomal RNA, 421 nt
Filed under: uncultured bacterium
Lineage: Bacteria
Description: partial 16S ribosomal RNA
Rfam family: Bacterial small subunit ribosomal RNA
Source: RNAcentral
AAUAUUGGACAAUGGUGGCAACGCUGUUCCAGCCAGGCCGCGUGUGUGAAGAAGGUCUUCUGUUUGUAAAGCACUUUAAGUUGGGAGGAAGGGCGUCAAGCUAAUAUCUUGAUACUUUGACGUUACCAACAGAAUAAGCAUCGGCUAACUCUGUGCCUGCAGCCGCGGUAAUGAAGAGGGUCCCAGCGUUAAUCGGAAUUACUGGGCGUAAAGCGCGCGUAGGUGGUUCAGUAAGAUGGGUGUGAAAUCCCCGGGCUCAACCUGGGAACUGCUUUCAUAACUGCUGAGCUAGAGUACGGUAGAGGGUAGUGGAAUUUCCUGUGUAGCGGUGAAAUGCGUAGAUAUAGGAAGGAACACCAGUGGCGAAGGCGACUACCUGGACUGAUACUGACACUGAGGUGCGAAAGCGUGGGGAGCAAAC